This 1425-nucleotide long non-coding RNA is filed under the name Anas platyrhynchos platyrhynchos (common mallard). RNAcentral describes it as "lncRNA (ENSAPLG00000022626.1)". Lineage: Eukaryota; Metazoa; Chordata; Aves; Anseriformes; Anatidae. The record is from RNAcentral.
CUGAGGAGCGCUCCUCACAUUCGCGCCGUGCCACGGUUCAGCAAUCCAACUUCAUUUUGCACCUUCCUCUUAGCACCUUAAGGAGCAAGCAGUCAGUCACUGAACCAGCUCAGCAAGAAGCUUCAUUGGCGCUGUUUCUUCAGAGUGAGAGGAGUGAGAAAGCUCAGAACUGCACUGGUAAGGAAUUAAAUUUAUUCUGAAAAUUUUGGUGGUGUGAAUUACAAGAGCAUGCGAUUAUAACUUGUUCCUGGUGGAGAUGAUAGAUUUCCUGAGGGACAAUUUAUGUUGGACAACAGAGAAACUGCUGGACUUAAUUUGGUUUUAAGAGUGUUAAUGCUCAGUGAUUACUUACCUUAAACCUCUUCAUGAGCUACUUAUGCUAAGCACCUGAAUUUGAAUACUUUAUUCUAUGCCAUAAGACUUAAUUUUGCUCAGUCAUAAACUAGUUAGGUUUGUUUAUCCUUACAUUCAAUGUAAAUUUUGUUUACCCUCCAAUGACAUCCCUUGCUUUUUUUUUUUUUUGUUUUCCUUUUUUUUUUUUUUUUUUUCACUCCAGCCUCUUGUGCAAACGCAGACCUCGCUUGCUCUGCUGUGCUGUGGGGGACUCCGUCAUUUUGUCCAUUAAGUUAAUUCAGCUUGUAAAAUAAAAUGAAGACUUUGUGACAGGUCCUCUGCAACCCAAAUGACUCAGCCAGGAGUUCUGUUUGCAUGCUGGGUGCCGCAGGCAGAUGUUAGAGGAUCACUGACAACUUGGACAUCGUGUUCGUGAUGUUCCUGUGACAUGUAGCACCCAGGCUCCAGCGCUAGGGAAGAAACUGUGCCGGUGUGUGUUCUUUCCGUAGGGAGCCCUGACUGGGUAUAUAACCAGCUUCUCUUUCCCCUGAAGUCACUCUCAAUGAAUUUCCCUCCUAUGUGGAGGGCCAGUAUGAGGUAUAAGCACCACUUAAAUCCUACUUCAGCAUUACUUCCAGAGCUUAAGUGGAGCUGAUGUGAUUGGUACCUUGUGUGAACUCUUGUGAAGGGGUAGAUUUCAGCAUCGGUUCCCCUGACAGUGUGGGCCUUUCCCAGAGUGGCAGGGAACAGAGGAGGUAUUAAAGAAUAAGGAAAAUGUGAUAACAGAACCACAACUAUUGGCGAGAGUGACUCAGCCGCACCCUCCGGAACAGUCUCUAACUUCCUUUUUACAACAGAUUUCCAGCUGCUUGCAUCUCUUUAAUUAAAAAGAGAUGUUCUUUUGAAUGGCAUAUAAAAAUGUAACAGCACAUGUCUGGAUCAUGGUUUUGAAGCCUCAAACAUACCCCGCAAUUUAGGGACUAAGAACAUCACAAAAAACAAGCUAUAAAAUGAACUGAACCAAAAGUAUGGAGGAUAAUUCUUCCUUCUUCCUGUAAUAAAAAUGCAAGUUGUCCAAAAUGUUAGGGAUGG